This is an RNA transcript of Labeo rohita (rohu), 1738 nucleotides long. It is a transcript of the gene named beta-1,3-glucuronyltransferase 2 (glucuronosyltransferase S), with no coding region annotated. The record is from RefSeq and is a predicted model, not a curated record. The transcript is spliced from 5 exons. NCBI's taxonomy places the organism in Eukaryota, Metazoa, Chordata, Actinopteri, Cypriniformes, Cyprinidae.
UCUGACAAGUAUGUGAAUAUUACAUUAAAGUCUGCUAUCGCGCAAAAAAGAAAAAAAGACUACAAUGCAAGCUUCUCUCGCUCUCUGGCGCGCAGGUGGGGAGGGUGAAAUCUCAGUUUGAAGUCUCAGUCUUCCUCAUUUCAGCGGACUACAGCAGCGCCUGUCGCACCAUCAGCUCAGUCCCAUCAUUCGAUGCAGUUUUGAGUAAUCAUUACACCUAUAUGGAUUUAUUUCACUCCAAGCUAUGCCCGUGACCAAAACAAUGACCUGUUGUUAUUUUUGGUACUGUUUUCUGCGCUGAACGACUGGAGAUUCCCUAUACAGGGAGCAUCAUCUCAGGGAACGGACUCUCUGGUGGAGCGCAGGACGGGAUGGGAUCGCAACAGCGCGUUUAGGAAACGGGAAUGGGAAGUUUAGACGUUCGUGGACUACGGAUACCGGCUAAAACACGCGAGGGACGGCUUUAAAUGAAGUUUAAAAAGUAAUAACACGCAGUAAUUGAAUAAUCGCCUCUGAAUGAACUGCUCUGUUUGUGGCUGGCUGUUAUUUCUUCACAGUAAGCAGCAGCGCUGGUUCUUCGGGCACAAUGAAAUCCAUCUACUCUCGCUUUUUCAUUCUUCUUCCGUGGAUCUUGAUAGUGAUCAUCGUGAUCGACAUCGACACGAAGAGACUGUCUGUUCGGAACACGGCCAGCUUUUAUUUGUCUCGGCUGGGAAAUGUGCAGCAGCGGCAGGUCGUUAGGACGACUCGGACCAGCAGCAGCAGCACCACAGCCACCAGCAGCAGGAGUAACGCCACAUCUCUCCCGGUCAUUUAUGCCAUCACUCCUACUUACAGCCGAGCGGUGCAGAAAGCAGAGCUCACCCGCUUGGCAAAUACGUUCCGCCAGGUUCCACAGUUCCACUGGAUCGUGGUGGAAGACUCAAACUCCCACACGGAGCUGGUUUCCCGGUUUCUCGCCCGCUCUGGGCUGAGAUACACUCACCUGAACGUGUUCACCCCGCGCAGGUUCAAGCGGACAGGGAUGCCCCGAGCGACCGAGCAGAGGAACUUAGCGCUCGGCUGGCUGAGAGGACAUCGCUCCUCCAAAGAUACAGGAGUCGUUUUCUUCGCGGAUGAUGAUAACACUUACAGCCUUGAGUUAUUUGAAGAGAUGCGGUCAACCAGGAGAGUGUCAGUGUGGCCGGUGGGACUCGUUGGAGGAAGGAGGUACGAGCGUCCCUUAGUGGAAAAGGGGAAAGUGGUCGGCUGGUACACAGGCUGGAAGGCCGACAGGCCGUUUGCAAUUGACAUGGCUGGCUUUGCAGUGAACCUGCAAGUGAUCCUGUCAAACCCACGGGCCCUGUUUAAGAGAAGAGGAGCCAAACCAGGGAUGCAAGAAUCUGAUUUCCUCAAACAGAUUACUAAGGUGGAGGACUUGGAGCCAAAGGCCAAGAACUGUACCCAGGACAACUGAAGGACUCAUGUGCAACUAUUACAGAAGGUUCAAAUUCUCACUGAUGCUCCAGAAGUAAAAACGAUGCAUUAAGAGCCAGGGGUGAAAACUUUUGGACAGAAUGAAGGUCCUGGUCUGGCAUACCCGCACUGAGAAGGUCAACCUGGGUAACGAACCAAAGCGACAACAGGACUCUGUCUAUAUAGAGGUCUAGCGAGCAACACGGCACUAAGACUGUCACAUAACACUGGAUGAAGGCCCGCCAUCAUCAGCACUUUCCAAAAAACGAUGGCCACCUUUAAA